CAAAUUAUUCAGUAAAGUUUUGACAGAAAAUAUAACCUAACUUUUUUUUAUUAUUAUUUAAUAUCUUUUAACAUCAAUCUAAAAUUUUUUUUAGUAAUAUCGUCGAUUUAAGGGGUUAGUAAUAAGCAGUUUUCCAACCUUCCCAUAGAAAAUUCAUCGUCGUCGGCACUAUUUUAGUAACGAAUAGGAGAGAAGAGGUGGUCUUUAUACGCUUUCGAGAUGAACCCAAUAACCCUUAGUCGCUGGGACUUAGUUUAUUGUGACAAGCGGCGCGUUCUGCUUCUAGAAGACCCUGUCAUCGUAAAUUCGGAACACCCUCAUUUGGGGACUCCCCGGGUCGAGUUGUCCCCCUCCUUGGGGUCAAACUGGUACUUUUCGAGCCGGGAAAGACUUUCGUCGAGAAAGAAGAUCAAGAUUUGUUGUUUUUAAUUCUAGUUUGAAAAUAUUUUCGUGGAGUUAAUUACUCAUAAUAAUAAAUCGACGUCAACAAGUUCCAAACCGUCAAGUUACGAGAACAUUCCAAAGACAACCCAGUUUCAUAUUUCAGUACGUUUCAACGUCGUCUUUGUAAUUAAGCAACUGGUAGGGUAAUUGUUACGAUGUAUUCAGAAACCAACCAGAAAUGUGACGUGUACGUGAAGGUUUCCAUCAACAAUUGGAUUAUUUGUUAUUUUAUUUUCUGAAUAAAGAUAAAGGUUUUGGUAAAACGA
This is a long non-coding RNA of Onthophagus taurus, 710 nucleotides long. RefSeq lists it as uncharacterized. NCBI's taxonomy places the organism in Eukaryota, Metazoa, Arthropoda, Insecta, Coleoptera, Scarabaeidae. The record is from RefSeq and is a predicted model, not a curated record.